UAAAGGCCUACCAAGGCGACGAUCUGUAGCGGGUCUGAGAGGAUGAUCCGCCACACUGGAACUGAGACACGGUCCAGACUCCUACGGGAGGCAGCAGUGGGGAAUUUUGGACAAUGGGGGCAACCCUGAUCCAGCCAUGCCGCGUGAGUGAAGAAGGCCUUCGGGUUGUAAAGCUCUUUCGGCCGGGACGAAAUCGCACGGGCUAAUAUCCUGUGUGGAUGACGGUACCGGAAUAAGAAGCACCGGCUAACUACGUGCCAGCAGCCGCGGUAAUACGUAGGGUGCGAGCGUUAAUCGGAAUUACUGGGCGUAAAGCGUGCGCAGGCGGUUUGAUAAGACAGGCGUGAAAUCCCCGGGGCUUAACCUGGGAACUGCGCUUGUGACUGUCUCACUAGAGUACGGCAGAGGGGGGUGGAAUUCCACGUGUAGCAGUGAAAUGCGUAGAGAUGUGGAGGAACACCGAUGGCGAAGGCAGCCCCCCUGGGCCGAUACUGACGCUCAUGCACGAAAGCGUGGGGAGC
RNAcentral lists this ribosomal RNA (521 nucleotides) under uncultured bacterium. RNAcentral's name for it is "bacterial SSU rRNA". It matches the Rfam family "Bacterial small subunit ribosomal RNA", at positions 258 to 769 of the family's 1533-position model. The record is from RNAcentral.